UCAUCUUGGCGGGGUGCAAUGUGGUGUUUGGGAGGGUCCAUUCGUGCCUUGAGCCCAGGUGUCCAAGUCCCCCUGACUGGGGCCAUCGCCCGUUGAGGGUGCAAGGCCUGUCGGGCCGGGCUGAGUCUCCAGGUCUCGGCGCGUUGGGUCCCUUCCUUGGAGUCGGGUUGCUUGAGAGUGCAGCCCAAAGUGGGUGGUAAACUCCACCUAAGGCUAAAUACCUGCCACGAGACCGAUAGCAAACAAGUACCGUGAGGGAAAGUUGCAAAGAACUUUGAAGAGAGAGUUCAAGAGUGCGUGAAACCGCUCGGAGGUAAACGGGUGGGAGCGCGAAAGUCGAACGGAAGGGGAGGGAUUCAACUUGGCGUGGCUGGCCGGCGGGGUGCGCGCGUGAGCUGACUGGUGUCACCCGUCCCAUUCACUUGGCGCAAUAAAAGUGAAGGCCCUGUGCGCUUGGUGGCUGUCCCCCUUCCGUUGACCCACACCGCCGACUUGUCGGCAGGGAGGGAGCGGUUGGGCCGGGCGGCCGUCCGAGAGCCGGGCCUGGGUGGGAUCCCCCGUCUUGAGGCGGGGGCGCACCACC
RNAcentral lists this ribosomal RNA (583 nucleotides) under Amplinus bitumidus. RNAcentral's name for it is "partial large subunit ribosomal RNA". It matches the Rfam family "Eukaryotic large subunit ribosomal RNA", at positions 125 to 607 of the family's 3401-position model. Lineage: Eukaryota; Metazoa; Arthropoda; Diplopoda; Polydesmida; Xystodesmidae. The record is from RNAcentral.